RNAcentral lists this ribosomal RNA (340 nucleotides) under uncultured Anaerolineaceae bacterium. RNAcentral describes it as "bacterial SSU rRNA". It matches the Rfam family "Bacterial small subunit ribosomal RNA", at positions 1030 to 1382 of the family's 1533-position model. Lineage: Bacteria; Bacillati; Chloroflexota; Anaerolineae; Anaerolineales; Anaerolineaceae. The record is from RNAcentral.
UUGUACAGGUGCUGCAUGGCUGUCGUCAGCUCGUGUCGUGAGAUGUUCGGUUAAGUCCGCUAACGAGCGCAACCCUCGCUGUGUGUUACAAGUGUCACACGGAACUGCCGGUCAUAAACCGGAGGAAGGUGGGGAUGACGUCAAGUCAGCAUGGCCUUUAUAUCCUGGGCUACACCCACGCUACAAUGGGAAGGGACAAUAGGUUGCGAAGCCGCGAGGCGGAGCCAAUCCAGCAAAACUUCCCUCAGUUCAGAUUGCAGGCUGCAACCCGCCUGCAUGAAGUUGGAGUUGCUAGUAAACGCAGGUCAGCCAUACUGCGUUGAAUACGUUCCCGGGGCUU